UAGAGGAGGCAGGUAGCCUAGUGGUAAGAGGCGGCAGGUAGCCUAGUGGUUAGAGGCGGCAGGUAGCCUAGUGGUUAGAGGCGGCAGGUAGCCUAGUGGUAAGAGGCGGCAGGUAGCCUAGUGGUAAGAGGCGGCAGGUAGCCUAGUGGUAAGAGGCGGCAGGUAGCCUAGUGGUAAGAGGCGGCAGGUAGCCUAGUGGUUAGAGGCGGCAGGUAGCCUAGUGGUUAGAGGCGGCAGGUAGCCUAGUGGUUAGAGGCGGCAGGUAGCCUAGUGGUAAGAGGCGGCAGGUAGCCUAGUGGUAAGAGGCGGCAGGUAGCCUAGUGGUUAGAGGCGGCAGGUAGCCUAGUGGUUAGAGGAGGCAGGUAGCCUAGUGGUAAGAGGCGGCAGGUAGCCUAGUGGUUAGAGGCGGCAGGUAGCCUAGUGGUUAGAGGCGGCAGGUAGCCUAGUGGUUAGAGGCGGCAGGUAGCCUAGUGGUAAGAGGCGGCAGGUAGCCUAGUGGUAAGAGGCGGCAGGUAGCCUAGUGGUAAGAGGCGGCAGGUAGCCUAGUGGUAAGAGGCGGCAGGUAGCCUAGUGGUAAGAGGCGGCAGGUAGCCUAGUGGUAAGAGGCGGCAGGUAGCCUAGUGUUUAGAGGCGGCAGGUAGCCUAGUGGUUAGAGGCGGCAGGUAGCCUAGUGGUUAGAGGCGGCAGGUAGCCUAGUGGUUAGAGGCGGCAGGUAGCCUAGUGGUUAGAGGGGGCAGGUAGCCUAGUGGUUAGAGGCGGCAGGUAGCCUAGUGGUUAGAGGCGGCAGGUAGCCUAGUGGUUAGAGGCGGCAGGUAGCCUAGUGGUAAGAGGCGGCAGGUAGCCUAGUGGUAAGAGGCGGCAGGUAGCCUAGUGGUAAGAGGCGGCAGGUAGCCUAGUGGUUAGAGGCGGCAGGUAGCCUAGUGGUUAGAGGCGGCAGGUAGCCUAGUGGUAAGAGGCGGCAGGUAGCCUAGUGGUAAGAGGCGGCAGGUAGCCUAGUGGUAAGAGGCGGCAGGUAGCCUAGUGGUAAGAGGCGGCAGGUAGCCUAGUGGUUAGAGGCGGCAGGUAGCCUAGUGGUUAGAGGCGGCAGGUAGCCUAGUGGUUAGAGGCGGCAGGUAGCCUAGUGGUAAGAGGCGGCAGGUAGCCUAGUGGUAAGAGGCGGCAGGUAGCCUAGUGGUUAGAGGCGGCAGGUAGCCUAGUGGUUAGAGGAGGCAGGUAGCCUAGUGGUAAGAGGCGGCAGGUAGCCUAGUGGUUAGAGGCGGCAGGUAGCCUAGUGGUUAGAGGCGGCAGGUAGCCUAGUGGUAAGAGGCGGCAGGUAGCCUAGUGGUAAGAGGCGGCAGGUAGCCUAGUGGUAAGAGGCGGCAGGUAGCCUAGUGGUAAGAGGCGGCAGGUAGCCUAGUGGUUAGAGGCGGCAGGUAGCCUAGUGGUUAGAGG
Long non-coding RNA from Salvelinus fontinalis (brook trout), 1431 nucleotides. RefSeq lists it as uncharacterized. The transcript has 6 exons. The record is from RefSeq and is a predicted model, not a curated record. Lineage: Eukaryota; Metazoa; Chordata; Actinopteri; Salmoniformes; Salmonidae.